Long non-coding RNA from Nematostella vectensis (starlet sea anemone), 5148 nucleotides. RefSeq lists it as uncharacterized. NCBI's taxonomy places the organism in Eukaryota, Metazoa, Cnidaria, Anthozoa, Actiniaria, Edwardsiidae. The transcript has 2 exons. The record is from RefSeq and is a predicted model, not a curated record.
UUAAUGCCAUUUUUACUACGGUCACAUCCGCAACAGUCACGUCCGCAACGCUAUAUCUAUAAAUAUUGUAAUUAAUUACAUUGAUUUUCUUAAUUUUAUAACUAUUUUAACAUUUGAAGUUAAGAACAUUUGAUUUUCACAACAAAAAGCCAUAGAAACACAGGCAUGCCCCAUCCUCAGCGUGGUCAGCUGCCACGAUUUUAUUACAAAUUUAAUAGUUCAAUGUAUUAGCUUCAAGUUUCUUUGAUUUUAAUAUUUAAAUUCUCGAUUUCAAAAAUGAUAUUUUUUCAUGUCUCAUGUGGGAUUGCCCAUGACCAUGUUUAUGACAUUUAUUCAUUUAUUUAUUCAGUGUUUGUUUUAACGUUUACAGGCAGAGAGCGACAUUCGAGCGACGUUCGAGUAUCCAUCAAGGAUACAAAGCUUCUUUUUGUUUCUUCAGAAAUGCUUGCUUGACAUCCAGGAUGGCAGGAAGAUACCUGCAUCCAUAAUCCGAUAUGUUGAGCAAAUCAAUUUCUCCCGGGAGCCCCCCUGCCUUUCUGCAGCAACUGAUUGAUAAAGAUUUUUUGUUAUAAUAUAGAACAUUGUCAAAUUCCAAUUUAUGAACACAAUUUGACUCUGAAUUUAAGAACAAAAGAAUAGGAACUACAUACGGAUUCUGGAGCAGAAUCUCGAGAAUGCUCGAGGGCAGAGUAACAUCCAACGAUACCGGUUCAGCAGGAUGGGCAGCAUCGGUGGAGGUAGUGGGUAAUAUCCCACUAAAAGAACUUCUGGCCGAAUAAGAGGCCCUUCUCCUUGCGGCCACAAUAAGUACAUUAAUGCGUAAGUUAAUUGUUACUCAUGUGAAGUGUGUUGUUGUCCCGGUUUAAUUGUAGGUUAAUAUUUUAAUUAAUUCAUUGACCCCAAACCUUGCACAUGUUCCUAGAAUUGAAUAUUGUAUUAUUUUAAAAUUGUUCCAGAAAUUAUGACUCCAGAAGUUACGAAUACCUCUCCCACAGGGGUCCAUAAAACCAGACAUGGUGUACACUGUUUCUGGGCGAAGACUAGCAGUUAAUAGACAGUAUACUGGAAUUUAUUAUAUUACUUAUAUCACUUGACAAAAGAAAUGAUGCCACAGUUCCUGAACCGGGGUCUCAACAUUGUGGAUUGGGAGUGGUUCCCAAAACCUCAAGUGGCAACAGGGAACUGGCAAGAGCCUGCUUGGAAAACCUCUCAGUUACUGCAAAGCAUGAUCUGAUGAACAAAGAAGUGCUUAGAAAAGUGGAGAAUAAAUUAUGUUACAGCAGAGGUGCUGAUGCAAGAACAACUUGACAACUUUGUUGAAAACCAGUUGUUUGAAACAAUUGGAGAAAACGCCUUGACCAGUAAACUAUACAAAAAGAACAGCGUAAAAAAAGCAUUUUACAUGUUUUAAACGCAUUUAAUACUUUUUAAUUUGUCUAUUGAGCAUAGUGUGGCCUUGCAAGUCUCUUGGGUGGCAAUCGAUCCAUCAAAAGAGCAAGCAUGCUACGGUGUACCAUUCAGACAGGCAGCAUGCAACACGGGCAAAGGAAAGAUGGACAAACGACGAAAUGGUACUUGUGGCCAGAAAGGAAAUAGCUUAGGAAAAGAGUCGGUGUAGCGCCGUAAUUGAAGGGAUGCGAGAAGCAGUUCCACAUUUGGACGCCGUCAAAAGUCUCAAAACCAAGAAUAGGAACUACAUACGGAUUCUGGAGCAGAUUCACGCUGAAUGCUCGAGGGCAGAGUAACAUCCAACGAUACCGGUUCAGCAGGAUGGGCAGCAUCGGUGGAGGUAGUGGGUAAUAUCCCAAUAAAAGAACUUCUGGCCGAAUAAGAGGCCCUUCUCCUUGCGACCACAAUAAUUACCUUAAUGCGUAAGUUAAUUGUUACUCAUGUGAAGUGUGUUGUUGUCCCUGUUUAAUUGUAGGUUAAUAUUUUAAUUAAUUCAUUGACCCCAAACCUUGCACAUGUUCCUAGAAUUGAAUAUUGUAUUAUUUUAAAAUUGUUCCAGAAAUUAUUACUCCAGAAGUUACGAAUACCUCUCCCACAGGGGUCCAUCAUAAAACCAGACAUGGUGUACACUGUUUCUGGGCGAAGACUAGCAGUUAAUAGACAGUAUACUGGAAUUUAUUCUAUUACUUAUAUCACUUGACGAAAGAAAUGAUGCCACAGUUCCUGAACCGGGGUCUCAACAAUGUGGAUUGGGAGUGGUUCCCAAAACCUCAAGUGGCAAUAGGGAACUGGCAAGAGCCUGGUUGGAAAACCUCUCAGUUACUGAAAAGCAUGAUCUGAUGAAUAAAGAAGUGCUUAGAAAAGUGGAGAAUAAAUUAUGUUACAGCAGAGGUGCUGAUGCAUGAACAACUUGACAACUUUGUUGAAAACGAGUUAUGUUUGAAACAAUUUGAGAAAACGCCUUGACCAGUAAACUAUACAAAAAGAACAGCGUAAAAAAAGCAUUUUACAUGUUUUAAACGCAUUUAAUACUUUUUUAUUUGUCUAUUGAGCAUAGUGUGGCCUUGCAAGUCUCUUGGGGGGCAAUCGAUCCAUCAAAAGAGCAAGCAUGCUACGGUGUAACAUGCAGAAAGGCAGCCUGCAACACGGGCAAAGGAAAGAUGGACAAACAACGAAAUGGUACUUGUGGCCAGAAAGCAAAUAGCUUCGGAAAAGAGUCGGUGUAGCGCCGUAAUUGAAGGGAUGCGAGAAGCAGUUCCACAUUUGGACGCCGUCAAAAGUCUCAAAACCAAGAAUAGGAACUACAUACGGAUUCUGGAGCAGAUUCACGCUGAAUGCUCGAGGGCAGAGUAACAUCCAACGAUACCGGUUCAGCAGGAUGGGCAGCAUCGGUGGAGGUAGUGGGUAAUAUCCCACUAAAAGAACUUCUGGCCGAAUAAGAGGCCCUUCUCCUUGCGACCACAAUAAUUACCUUAAUGCAAAUUAUGACUCCAGAAGUUACGAAUACCUCUCCCACAGGGGUCCAUCAUAAAACCAGACAUGGUGUACACUGUUUCUGGGCGAAGACUAGCAGUUAAUAGACAGUAUACUGGAAUUUAUUAUAUUACUUAUAUCACUUGACGAAAGAAAUGAUGCCACAGUUCCUGAACCGGGGUCUCAACAAUGUGGAUUGGGAGUGGUUCCCAAAACCUCAAGUGGCAAUAAUACUGUACUCUAGCUCAGAGAGAAUCUUUGAAGCUGCUGGCGAGAGCAGUGACUCUGUUAAGGUAUCCCAAGGGGUUAAGCAAGGGGAUCCGUUGAGUUCGACGCUAUUCAACUGUGUCAUACACUGGGCGGUCUCAGAUCUCGACCCCACAUAGGCGUCUUACCUAGGGGAGUCAUUUUCCACAAAUUACAGCAAAAAACACCAGUCCAAUUCAAUAUAAGAACGUCAGUUAAUUUCGGGCCCAAGAGGCCCUUCCUUGCGGCCACGAUAAGUACAUUCAUUUAUAAGUUUAUUGUUACUCAUGUGACGUGUGUUGUCCCUAUUUAAUUGUAGUUUAAUAUCUUAAUUAAUUCAUUGACCCCAUAUACCUCGCACAUGUUUCCUACUUCCCCCUUUGCUACUUAUAGCAAACCGAAAAACACUUCAUGUCCAAGCUCUGUCAGCUACCGAAAAAAACUCUCUAAAACAAAUCGAUUAUCAUGUUCUCAGCCAGCAUCAAGCACAAUCCAGCCUCCACCAGCCGUUGCUAUGGCAUGACAGGAUCAUUAAUACGCCCAGACACAUCAGCCACUACCGUCACAACAAACACAAACACCUACACACCAACACCCAGCUCAAACCCAGCUUUUUUUGGAAACGAGUCGAGAAAACGCCUUGGCCAGUAAACAAUCCAAAAAGAAGAGCGCGAAGAAAGCAUUUUACAUGUUUAAAACACAUUAAAUAAUACAUUUUUUAUUUGUCUUUUGAGCAUAGUGGUACUACCGAUUUAAACUAAUAUGAAAGCCAAUACGUCACAAAAUUGUCAAUUGAAAUUGCAAUGACAAGUGAAAGAUGCCGAAAGCAAAGAUAAAAGUUGGAUAAGCCAAAAUGUCUAGAUAUCUUGCCUGCUCUGGAAAUGAAGAUAAUAUAUCCACGUUUCUAAGUACAAACAUGGCUACCGGGUUGAGACUCGCUGCCGAAAAUGAAAGAAGUCCAUGUGAAGAAAACAGCGAGCAGUUAUGAACUGUGCCUCAUCAGCCUUGAAGACUUCGAUAGAAAUGAAGGAGACCGAGUUUUCCUUUUUUCUGGCCGAAUAAGAGGCCCUUCUCCUUGCGGCCACAAUAAUUACCUUAAUGCGUAAGUUAAUUGUUACUCAUGUGAAGUGUGUUGUUGUCCCUGUUUAAUUGUAGGUUAAUACUUUAAUUAAUUCAUUGACCCCAAACCUUGCACAUGUUCCUAGAAUUGAAUAUUGUAUUGUAUUAUUUUAAAAUUGUUCCAGAAAUUAUGACUCCAGAUGUUACGAAUACCUCUCCCACAGGGGUCCAUAAAACCAGACAUGGUGUACACUUUUUCUGGGCGAAGACUAGCAGUUAAUAGACAGUAUACUGGAAUUUAUUAUAUUACUUAUAUCACUAGACGAAAGAAAUGAUGCCACAGUUCCUGAACCGGGGUCUCAACAAUGUGGGUUGGGAGUGGUUCCCAAAACCUCAAGUGGCAAUAGGGAACUGGCAAGAGCCUGGUUGGAAAACCUCUCAGUUACUGCAAAGCAUGAUCUGAAUUCGGUCAGUCCUUGAGUACGCUGCUCCUGUCUGGGCCUCCCUUCCUGAGUACCUUGCAGAGCUUAUCGAAACAGUACAACGAAAAGCUAUUCGAAUAAUCUACCCUUGCCUUAGCUAUGAAUCAGGGCUCAAAGUAGCAAAAAUGGACUCACUUACAGUCCGCAGAGCAGAACUGUGCCGUCGAUUCAUGGCUAAAGCAAGAUGCACUGAGCCUAUAAAAUAUAUAAUACAAUCUGGGACUGAGGUCGCCCAUGGUUAUUCGCUAAGGGGGGGUUGCAGCCGUUUGGAUAAAUCAGUUGGUGUAACUGAAAGGUAUAAUAACUUUAUCACAAUUCGUUUCCAGUAGUUAUUCCAGUAUUUAUUUAUACAUUGUUAAGUGUAGUGUGCAUCGGCCGACAUACUGUAAUUUAGCUUAUGCUACAAAAGUAUGAAUAAACGAUUAUUAUUAUAUUAUUA